CAACUUUCAACAACGGAUCUCUUGGUUCCGGCAUCGAUGAAGAACGCAGCGAAAUGCGAUACGUAGUGUGAAUUGCAGAAUUCAGUGAAUCAUCGAAUCUUUGAACGCACAUUGCGCCCUUUGGUAUUCCAAAGGGCAUGCCUGUUCGAGCGUCAUUU
This 158-nucleotide ribosomal RNA is filed under the name uncultured Ascomycota. RNAcentral describes it as "5.8S ribosomal RNA". It matches the Rfam family "5.8S ribosomal RNA". Rfam says of the family: 5.8S ribosomal RNA (5.8S rRNA) is a component of the large subunit of the eukaryotic ribosome. The record is from RNAcentral. Lineage: Eukaryota; Fungi; Ascomycota.